UCAGCACAAAGGCUUUGGAGGGUUUUCUGUUAAAGAAAGGAAUAAUCAAAGAGAACAAGAAAGAAGAAGAGGAUGAUGAUUCAUAUGAUGAUAGAAAUAGAUCAGUGAGAUCGUCAAUCAAUCCUGAUUCUGAUUCAGACUGAUUGUUUCUUCUAAUCAAACGAGUAUUUAUCAACAUCUUCCAUUUGCUGAAUCUCACAGAUCUUGGGAUACCUCAUAUUAUCUAAUACAAUGUAUUUGCAUUGUUGAGAUGAUAACUGCAAAAGAUUGAAUAGUCUGCUUGAGAUAGUAUGUUGUAGUAGUUUAACAUUUCUAUCAGUUGCUUCUUAGUCCAGUUAUACGGAGAGAAGAAAACGAACUGUAUUAUUGCAAAGUGGUCUGAGUUCUUCCCAUUUCUCCCAACGGGUUCUUGAAAAUAUGUAGUUGUAUCUAAAUUCUCUUACUCUAUUAUUGUUAUGUUUUCGAGAAAAUGAACGAAGAGACGGGA
This 487-nucleotide unclassified non-coding RNA is filed under the name Hevea brasiliensis (rubber tree). Lineage: Eukaryota; Viridiplantae; Streptophyta; Magnoliopsida; Malpighiales; Euphorbiaceae. The record is from RNAcentral.